CCAACACUGGCUGUGCUGAAAAGCAAGAAGAAUGUUCUCCUUGAAGGAAAAUUAUUUCCUCAAGUUUCAUGAACUGGUGUUGAAAAGAACAUGCUGCAACCAAACCAUCAGUUGCAGAGAAUGUAUCAAUUCAGAUUGUCAAAGGAAGUUCUUUCCCUGGCACUCCUUACACAAUGAGUCUGGUGUAAAAGAAAAUAUAGUAACAAUAUUAUAUAUGUAUUCCUACAAUAAAGACAUUUAUUACAACAAAGGAUUUGUAAAAGAGUGGAAGAGAGAGAAAUCAGUAAAACUGAUGAACGCAUCUAAAAAGUCUCAGGCUAUAUGCAAUGGUCCUGCAUCCAGAGACCUAGAGACCUCCACCUCUGGAAAAAGAGCAGGGCGAAGUACUAAGGUACCAUUUUCUAAAUAAAAAUGCUAGUUGA
This 422-nucleotide long non-coding RNA is filed under the name Monodelphis domestica (gray short-tailed opossum). Its description in RNAcentral is "lncRNA (ENSMODG00000040568.1)". Lineage: Eukaryota; Metazoa; Chordata; Mammalia; Didelphimorphia; Didelphidae. The record is from RNAcentral.